This 422-nucleotide ribosomal RNA is filed under the name uncultured bacterium. RNAcentral's name for it is "bacterial SSU rRNA". It matches the Rfam family "Bacterial small subunit ribosomal RNA", at positions 362 to 776 of the family's 1533-position model. The record is from RNAcentral.
UUUUGGACAAUGGGCGCAAGCCUGAUCCAGCCAUUCCGCGUGAGUGAAGAAGGCCUUCGGGUUGUAAAGCUCUUUCGCAAGGGAAGAAACGAUGCAGUCGAAUAAACUGCGUUAAUGACGGUACCUUGAUAAGAAGCACCGGCUAACUACGUGCCAGCAGCCGCGGUAAUACGUAGGGUGCGAGCGUUAAUCGGAAUUACUGGGCGUAAAGCGUGCGCAGGCGGUUUUGUAAGUCAGAUGUGAAAUCCCCGGGCUCAACCUGGGAACUGCGUUUGAAACUACAAGGCUAGAGUGUAGCAGAGGGGGGUAGAAUUCCACGUGUAGCAGUGAAAUGCGUAGAGAUGUGGAGGAAUACCAAUGGCGAAGGCAGCCCCCUGGGUUAACACUGACGCUCAUGCACGAAAGCGUGGGGAGCAAACAGG